RNAcentral lists this ribosomal RNA (379 nucleotides) under uncultured bacterium. Its description in RNAcentral is "bacterial SSU rRNA". It matches the Rfam family "Bacterial small subunit ribosomal RNA", at positions 28 to 349 of the family's 1533-position model. The record is from RNAcentral.
GAUGAACGCUGGCGGCGUGCCUAAUACAUGCAAGUCGAGCGGUAAGGCUCUGCACAGGUUAUUUGAUCGAGAGUUUAGUCUCCUAACGGUACUUCUAGGCUAGAAGUCCCAACAGAUCGAAUAAUGUGUGUAGAGUACACGAGCGGCGGACGGCUGAGUAACGCGUAGGAACGUACCCCAAAGUGAGGGAUAAGCACCAGAAAUGGUGUCUAAUACCGCAUGGGUCUUCGGAUUAAAGCUUUAUGCGCUUUGGGAACGGCCUGCGUCUGAUUAGUUUGUUGGUGAGGUAAUGGCUCACCAAGACUACGAUCGGUAGCUGGUCUGAGAGGAUGAUCAGCCAGACUGGAACUGAGACACGGUCCAGACUCCUACGGGAGGC